RNAcentral lists this ribosomal RNA (2308 nucleotides) under Escherichia coli HVH 134 (4-6073441). RNAcentral's name for it is "bacterial LSU rRNA". It matches the Rfam family "Bacterial large subunit ribosomal RNA", at positions 1 to 2336 of the family's 2925-position model. The record is from RNAcentral. Lineage: Bacteria; Pseudomonadati; Pseudomonadota; Gammaproteobacteria; Enterobacterales; Enterobacteriaceae.
UUAAGCGACUAAGCGUACACGGUGGAUGCCCUGGCAGUCAGAGGCGAUGAAGGACGUGCUAAUCUGCGAUAAGCGUCGGUAAGGUGAUAUGAACCGUUAUAACCGGCGAUUUCCGAAUGGGGAAACCCAGUGUGAUUCGUCACACUAUCAUUAACUGAAUCCAUAGGUUAAUGAGGCGAACCGGGGGAACUGAAACAUCUAAGUACCCCGAGGAAAAGAAAUCAACCGAGAUUCCCCCAGUAGCGGCGAGCGAACGGGGAGCAGCCCAGAGCCUGAAUCAGUGUGUGUGUUAGUGGAAGCGUCUGGAAAGGCGCGCGAUACAGGGUGACAGCCCCGUACACAAAAAUGCACAUGCUGUGAGCUCGAUGAGUAGGGCGGGACACGUGGUAUCCUGUCUGAAUAUGGGGGGACCAUCCUCCAAGGCUAAAUACUCCUGACUGACCGAUAGUGAACCAGUACCGUGAGGGAAAGGCGAAAAGAACCCCGGCGAGGGGAGUGAAAAAGAACCUGAAACCGUGUACGUACAAGCAGUGGGAGCCUCUUUAUGGGGUGACUGCGUACCUUUUGUAUAAUGGGUCAGCGACUUAUAUUCUGUAGCAAGGUUAACCGAAUAGGGGAGCCGAAGGGAAACCGAGUCUUAACUGGGCGUUAAGUUGCAGGGUAUAGACCCGAAACCCGGUGAUCUAGCCAUGGGCAGGUUGAAGGUUGGGUAACACUAACUGGAGGACCGAACCGACUAAUGUUGAAAAAUUAGCGGAUGACUUGUGGCUGGGGGUGAAAGGCCAAUCAAACCGGGAGAUAGCUGGUUCUCCCCGAAAGCUAUUUAGGUAGCGCCUCGUGAAUUCAUCUCCGGGGGUAGAGCACUGUUUCGGCAAGGGGGUCAUCCCGACUUACCAACCCGAUGCAAACUGCGAAUACCGGAGAAUGUUAUCACGGGAGACACACGGCGGGUGCUAACGUCCGUCGUGAAGAGGGAAACAACCCAGACCGCCAGCUAAGGUCCCAAAGUCAUGGUUAAGUGGGAAACGAUGUGGGAAGGCCCAGACAGCCAGGAUGUUGGCUUAGAAGCAGCCAUCAUUUAAAGAAAGCGUAAUAGCUCACUGGUCGAGUCGGCCUGCGCGGAAGAUGUAACGGGGCUAAACCAUGCACCGAAGCUGCGGCAGCGACACUAUGUGUUGUUGGGUAGGGGAGCGUUCUGUAAGCCUGCGAAGGUGUACUGUGAGGUAUGCUGGAGGUAUCAGAAGUGCGAAUGCUGACAUAAGUAACGAUAAAGCGGGUGAAAAGCCCGCUCGCCGGAAGACCAAGGGUUCCUGUCCAACGUUAAUCGGGGCAGGGUGAGUCGACCCCUAAGGCGAGGCCGAAAGGCGUAGUCGAUGGGAAACAGGUUAAUAUUCCUGUACUUGGUGUUACUGCGAAGGGGGGACGGAGAAGGCUAUGUUGGCCGGGCGACGGUUGUCCCGGUUUAAGCGUGUAGGCUGGUUUUCCAGGCAAAUCCGGAAAAUCAAGGCUGAGGCGUGAUGACGAGGCACUACGGUGCUGAAGCAACAAAUGCCCUGCUUCCAGGAAAAGCCUCUAAGCAUCAGGUAACAUCAAAUCGUACCCCAAACCGACACAGGUGGUCAGGUAGAGAAUACCAAGGCGCUUGAGAGAACUCGGGUGAAGGAACUAGGCAAAAUGGUGCCGUAACUUCGGGAGAAGGCACGCUGAUAUGUAGGUGAAGCGACUUGCUCGUGGAGCUGAAAUCAGUCGAAGAUACCAGCUGGCUGCAACUGUUUAUUAAAAACACAGCACUGUGCAAACACGAAAGUGGACGUAUACGGUGUGACGCCUGCCCGGUGCCGGAAGGUUAAUUGAUGGGGUUAGCGGUAACGCGAAGCUCUUGAUCGAAGCCCCGGUAAACGGCGGCCGUAACUAUAACGGUCCUAAGGUAGCGAAAUUCCUUGUCGGGUAAGUUCCGACCUGCACGAAUGGCGUAAUGAUGGCCAGGCUGUCUCCACCCGAGACUCAGUGAAAUUGAACUCGCUGUGAAGAUGCAGUGUACCCGCGGCAAGACGGAAAGACCCCGUGAACCUUUACUAUAGCUUGACACUGAACAUUGAGCCUUGAUGUGUAGGAUAGGUGGGAGGCUUUGAAGUGUGGACGCCAGUCUGCAUGGAGCCGACCUUGAAAUACCACCCUUUAAUGUUUGAUGUUCUAACGUUGGCCCGUUAUCCGGGUUGCGGACAGUGUCUGGUGGGUAGUUUGACUGGGGCGGUCUCCUCCUAAAGAGUAACGGAGGAGCACGAAGGUUGGCUAAUCCUGGUCGGAC